GGGGAAUAUUGCGCAAUGGAGAAGAACUCUGACGCAGCAAUACCGCGUGAGCGAAGAAGGUCUUCGGAUCGUAAAGCUCUGUUAUCAGGGAAGAAGAAAAUGACGGUACCUGAUGAGCAAGUCCCGGCUAACUACGUGCCAGCAGCCGCGGUAAUACGUAGGGGACAAGCGUUGUCCGGAAUCACUGGGCGUAAAGGGCGCGUAGGCGGUAUAUUAAGUCAGGUGUGAAAGUUUUCGGCUCAACCGGAAAAGUGCACUUGAAACUAAUUUACUUGAGUACUGGAGAGGUAAGCGGAAUUCCUAGUGUAGCGGUGAAAUGCGUAGAUAUUAGGAAGAACACCGGUGGCGAAGGCGGCUUACUGGACAGAGACUGACGCUGAGGCGCGAAAGCGUGGGGAGCAAACA
Molecule: ribosomal RNA, 405 nt
Filed under: uncultured Eubacteriaceae bacterium
Lineage: Bacteria; Bacillati; Bacillota; Clostridia; Eubacteriales; Eubacteriaceae
Description: bacterial SSU rRNA
Rfam family: Bacterial small subunit ribosomal RNA
Source: RNAcentral